GACACGGCUGGCGGCGUGCCUAACACAUGCAAGUCGAGCGAUGAAGUUCUUCGGAACGGAUUAGCGGCGGACGGGUGAGUAACGCGCGAGCAAUCUGCCUUACACAAAGGGAUAGCCUCGGGAAACUGGGAUUAAUACCAUAUGACACUUGGUAAUCGCAUGAGGACCAAGUCAAAGAUUUUAUCGGUGUAAGAUGAGCUCGCGUCUGAUUAGCUAGUUGGUGGGGUAAAGGCCUACCAAGGCGACGAUCAGUAGCCGGCCUGAGAGGGUGAACGGCCACACUGGAACUGAGACACGGUCCAGACUCCUACGGGAGGCAGCAGUGGGGAAUAUUGCACAAUGGGCGCAAGCCUGAUGCAGCGACGCCGCGUGAGCGAAGAAGGUUUUCGGAUCGUAAAGCUCUGUCCUCUGGGAAGAAAAAAAUGACGGUACCAGAGGAGGGAGCCCCGGCUAACUACGUG
Molecule: ribosomal RNA, 461 nt
Filed under: uncultured bacterium
Lineage: Bacteria
Description: bacterial SSU rRNA
Rfam family: Bacterial small subunit ribosomal RNA
Source: RNAcentral